Molecule: non-coding RNA, 188 nt
Filed under: Tumebacillus avium
Lineage: Bacteria; Bacillati; Bacillota; Bacilli; Caryophanales; Alicyclobacillaceae
Description: 6S RNA
Rfam family: 6S / SsrS RNA
About the family: E. coli 6S RNA was the first non coding RNA to be sequenced, but its function was unknown until recently. It consists of 184 nucleotides that fold into an extended hairpin structure with a large single-stranded internal bulge. The 6S RNA specifically associates with RNA polymerase holoenzyme containing the sigma70 specificity factor.
Source: RNAcentral
AGAACCCUCCAAUGUUGGUGAUUGUCUUUCGUUUUGAUCCAACAUUACCUAUAAGGGAUGCACGAGAGUCGCUGAUGGGCGCGAGAGCCGCUGACAAUCAUGUCGAGGCGGAUACCCGAUAUCAGAACUGGCAACCCACCUGCGCGAGCGGGUUCAAAACAAUGGUAACACGGCUGCGAGGGGUUCUU